RNAcentral lists this ribosomal RNA (253 nucleotides) under uncultured bacterium. RNAcentral's name for it is "partial 16S ribosomal RNA". It matches the Rfam family "Bacterial small subunit ribosomal RNA", at positions 524 to 776 of the family's 1533-position model. The record is from RNAcentral.
UACGUAGGGGGCAAGCGUUGUCCGGAUUUAUUGGGCGUAAAGAGCGUGUAGGCGGCCAGACAGGUCCGUUGUGAAAACUCGAGGCUCAACCUCGAGACGCCGAUGGAAACCGUCUGGCUAGAGUCCGGAAGAGGAGAGUGGAAUUCCUGGUGUAGCGGUGAAAUGCGCAGAUAUCAGGAAGAACGCCCGUGGCUAAGGCGGCUCUCUAGUACGGUACUGACGCUGAGACGCGAAAGCGUGGGGAGCGAACAGG